This 407-nucleotide ribosomal RNA is filed under the name uncultured bacterium. RNAcentral describes it as "partial 16S ribosomal RNA". It matches the Rfam family "Bacterial small subunit ribosomal RNA", at positions 30 to 526 of the family's 1533-position model. The record is from RNAcentral.
AUUGAACGCUGGCGGCAGGCCUAACACAUGCACGUCGAGCGGAGGAGGAGAAGGGUGAGUAUUGCCUAUGACUCUGCAUGGUACUGGGGGAUAGCGUUCGGAAACGGGCGCUAAUACCGCAAACUAUCGGAUGAGCCUAGGUCGGAUUAGCGAGUUGGUGGGGUAAGGGCCUACCAUGGCGACGAUCCGGAACUGGUCUGUUAGGAUGAUCAGUCACACUGGAACUGAGACACGGUCCAGACUCCUACGGGAGGCAGCAGUGGUGAAUAGUGGACAAUGGGCGAAAGCCUGAUCCAGCCAUGCCGCGUGUGUGAAGAAGGCCUUCGGAUUGUAAAGCACUUUAAGUUGGGAGGCGUUACCAACAGAAUAAGCACCGGCGAACUUCGUGCCAGCAGCCGCGGUAAUAC